GCGAAAGUGGCGGAAUUUGGUAGACGCGCUGGCUUUAGGUGCCAGUGGGGUAACCCGUGAGAGUUCGAGUCUCUCCUUUCGCA
RNAcentral lists this transfer RNA (83 nucleotides) under Candidatus Kentrum sp. TC. RNAcentral's name for it is "Candidatus Kentron sp. TC tRNA_Leu_TAG". It matches the Rfam family "tRNA". Rfam says of the family: Transfer RNA (tRNA) molecules are approximately 80 nucleotides in length. Their secondary structure includes four short double-helical elements and three loops (D, anti-codon, and T loops). Further hydrogen bonds mediate the characteristic L-shaped molecular structure. tRNAs have two regions of fundamental functional importance: the anti-codon, which is responsible for specific mRNA codon recognition, and the 3' end, to which the tRNAs corresponding amino acid is attached (by aminoacyl-tRNA synthetases). tRNAs cope with the degeneracy of the genetic code in two manners: having more than one tRNA (with a specific anti-codon) for a particular amino acid; and 'wobble' base-pairing, i.e. permitting non-standard base-pairing at the 3rd anti-codon position. The record is from RNAcentral. Lineage: Bacteria; Pseudomonadati; Pseudomonadota; Gammaproteobacteria.